RNAcentral lists this unclassified non-coding RNA (373 nucleotides) under soil metagenome. RNAcentral's name for it is "partial contains internal transcribed spacer 2 and large subunit ribosomal RNA". The stretch from base 2 to 119 matches the Rfam family "5.8S ribosomal RNA", at positions 37 to 154 of the family's 154-position model. The record is from RNAcentral.
GUGAAGAACGCAGCGAAAUGCGAUAAUUAAUGUGAAUUGCAGAAUUCCGUGAAUCAUCGAGUCUUUGAACGCACAUUGCGCCUCAUGGCAUUCCGUGAGGCAUGCCCAUCUCAGCGUUAGAAAAUAUUCUCAAAUUUUAGUUUUGUGCUAAAAUUUGGAUCAUGUCAAGGAAGCUAUUACUAUUAUUGUGAUCGCUCUUUGGAAAUUGAUAGGUCUUUGAGUUGCUACUCAUAGAACGUGAUGAAUCUUUCUUCGUUCUAUUGUAAUUCACUCUGGUAGUCCUAAAACUUGUAUGCCUGUGGCAUAUCUUGUAAUUUGACCUGAGAUUGGGUAGGGAUACCCGCUGAACUUAAGCAUAUCAAUAAGCGGAGGA